This is a small nuclear RNA of Cavia porcellus (domestic guinea pig), 107 nucleotides long. The record is from Ensembl. Lineage: Eukaryota; Metazoa; Chordata; Mammalia; Rodentia; Caviidae.
GUGCUCUCUUCAGCAGCAUGCAUAGUAAGAUUGGAACGAUACAGAGAAAAUUAGCACAAGCCCUGUGCAAGAAUGACACACAAAAUCAUGAAGCAUUCCAUAUAUAA